CUCCUGCAGUGUCAGGGUAUAAGGGAGCGGGCACGCGCCUGAGGCGCGCUCACUGGAGUUGUAGAACGCGCAGUAGGAGGAGCACAGGGAUCAGUGGGAGAUGUGACCGGGGGACCCGGCGUGUGUCCUCCGCCCUGAGGCAGGCGCAUCUCUCCGCUGUUCGGGAGGAGGAGGAGGCAGCAGCGAGCAUGGCGGACAAGGGCAGGCUGAGCUUCCCGGGGGCACUGAACAGGCCGGUGCCUAUGAACCUAUUCGCUACCUGGGAAGUAGACGGUUCCAGCCCGAGCUGCAUCCCCAGGCUCUGCAGUCUGACUCUGAAGAAACUUCUGGUGGUGAAGGAGCUGGAUAAGGAGCAUAUUUCAGUGGUCAUUGCAGUGAAGAUGCAGGGAUCCAAGCGCAUUCUGCGUUCUCAUGAGAUUGUUCUGCCCCCUGCUGGACAAGUGGAGACUGACCUGGCACUGACAUUCUCAUUGCAGUACCCUCACUUUCUGAAACGGGAAGGAAAUAAACUACAGAUCAUGCUUCAGAGACGGAAAAGAUACAAAAACCGAACAAUUCUUGGUUACAAGACUCUGGCUGUCGGCAGCAUUAACAUGGCUGAGGUCAUGCAGCAUCCCACUGAAGGAAGCCAAGUCUUGAGCCUGUUUAGUAACAUGAAGGAAACAUCUGCCAAAGUUGCAGAGAUUUGGAUCUUUUCACUCUCCAGUCAACCGAUUGACCAUGAAGACAGCACCAUGCACACCAACCAAAAGAUUAAAUCCACAGAUAACUAUUCUGAGGAAGAGUAUGAAAGUUUCUCCUCAGAGCAAGAAGCCAGUGAUGAUGCUGUGCAAGGACAGGAUUUAGAUGACGACGAAUUUGAUGUUGGGAAACCAAAGAAGCAGCGAAGAACGAUACAACAGAAUUUCAAGCAGAAGGUGGUUGCAUUGUUACGGAGGUUUAAAGUUUCCGAUGAGGUGCUCGACUCUGAGCAGGACCCAGGGGAGCAUGUGCCGGAGGUUGAAGAGGACAUGGACUUACUGUACGACACUCUGGACAUUGAGAAUCCCAGUGACAGUGGCCCAGAGAUGGAAGAUGAUGACAGUGUCCUUAGCACACCCAAGCCAAAGCUAAAACCUUACUUUGAGGGCCUGUCACACUCCAGCUCUCAGACAGAGAUCGGAAGCUUAUACAGUGCAAGAAGCCAGAGGGAAUUACCGAGCCCGGUGGAGGUGCCUGAGAGACGGACAUCGGGAACCAAGCCUCAGUCUGACUGUGUCUCUGAUACACUGUCGUUGGAGGCCUCUCAGCAAGAAGCCCAGGAUGCAGAGCUGUCCACGCUGGAUGUCUUCAUUGAGAGGUUACCACCUAGUGGCAAGAUCACCAAGACUGAAUCCUUAAUAAUCCAUUCAACCAUUAGCCAAACAGUCCUUGAUAAGAGCGCUCCCCUGACACAAGGGUCCAUCUACAGGUGUAGCACCAGCAAGAUUCCCCGGAAAACCGUGUACGAUCAGUUAAACCACAUCCUGAUUUCAGAUGAUCACCUCCCUGAGAAUAUCAUUCUGGUGAACACGUCUGAUUGGCAGGGCCAGCUUCUUUCAGACAUUUUGCAAAAGCACGACGUUCCCUUAGUGUGUACUUGUUCCUCUGCUGACAUCCAGGCUGCCUUCAAUACCAUAGUGUCCAGGAUACAGCGCUAUUGCAACUGCAAUUCUCAGCCCCCAAACCCGGUGAAAGUGGCAGUGGCGGGAGAUCAGAAUUACCUCAGUGCCGUGCUGAGACUGUUCGUUGAGCAACUGUCACACAAGACUCCCGACUGGCUGGGCUACCUGAGGUUUCUCAUCAUCCCACUGGGAUCUCACCCGGUCGCCAAGUAUCUGGGAUCUGUAGAUUACAAGUACAACCACCUCUUUCAGGAUCCAGCAUGGAGGGAUCUCUUCUGUAAACUGGAUGCGCAAACAGCGGUACAAGACCCACCAGAUGUGGUGUCCCGUGUGACGCAGUAUAUCUCCGGCGCCAACUGUGCGCACCAGCUGCCCAUUGCAGAGGCCAUGCUCACUUACAAGCAAAAAAGCCCUGACGAAGACUCCUCACAGAAGUUCAUACCUUUUGUUGGGGUUGUAAAAGUUGGUAUUGUUGAGCAGUCUUCUGCGACCUCAGGGGAUUCAGAUGAUGCUGCACCAUCAGGCUCCACUGUACUUUCAUCCACUCCACCUUCCGUUUCUCCCGCUGUGAAAGAAGCGUCUCCCACUCCCCCCUCAUCGCCAUCUGUUACGUCUGGCCUCUCCUCUUCGCCAAGCCAAAGCCCAGGAGGGGAACUCAUGGGGCUCCAACUGGAUUACUGGAUUGCGGCCCCUUUUGCCGAAAAGAAGAAAGACUUGGAAAAGAAGGACUCCACCUCCGCCAAGAACACUUUGAAAUGCACUUUCCGCUCGCUGCAGGUCAGCAGGCUUCCCAGCAACAGUGACGUUCCCACUGCUCCCACCAUGUCCAUGACCGUUGUCAUGAAGGAAAAAAACAAAAAAGUCAUGUUUUUGCCGAAGAAGACAAAGGAUAAAGAAGUGGAAUCUAAGAGCCAAUGUAUCGAAGGCAUUAGUAGACUCAUUUGCACUGCUAAACACCAACAGAACAUGCUCAGAGUGCUGAUCGAUGGAGUGGAAUGGAACGAUGUCAAGUUUUUCCAGUUGGCUGCACAGUGGUCCUCUCACGUCAAGCACUUUCCCAUCUGUAUAUUCGGACACUCUAAAGCCAACUUCUAGCCUUUUUACAAGGCGGAUCCCUCCAAUCCAACACUCCCCCCGCAGGCUGGAUGUCUGGAUACCAUACACUAACGAGUGCCAACUACUCCGAAUUAAAACCAUCCAGCUACGACUUUCUUUUUUUUUUUUUUUUUAUACUAUUGUUUUUAUUAUUGUGCCGAUUAUUUAAAGCUAUGCUUGAAGUUACCUUUUUUUUAUAUUAAUUUUUAAUUUUACUACCAAGGGAGGAUAAAACUUUAAAAAAAAAAGGAACAAGAAAUAAUAAUUAAAAUUAAAACAACAAGUCUUAACUGUUAA
Molecule: RNA transcript, 3035 nt
Organism: Xenopus laevis (African clawed frog)
Lineage: Eukaryota; Metazoa; Chordata; Amphibia; Anura; Pipidae
Gene: pacs2.S
Gene name: phosphofurin acidic cluster sorting protein 2 S homeolog
Exons: 24
Source: RefSeq, a predicted model, not a curated record